RNAcentral lists this ribosomal RNA (561 nucleotides) under uncultured fungus. RNAcentral describes it as "SSU rRNA". It matches the Rfam family "Eukaryotic small subunit ribosomal RNA", at positions 20 to 585 of the family's 1831-position model. Lineage: Eukaryota; Fungi. The record is from RNAcentral.
GUAGUCAUAUGCUUGUCUCAAAGAUUAAGCCAUGCAUGUCUAAGUAUAAGCAAUUAUACAGCGAAACUGCGAAUGGCUCAUUAUAUCAGUUAUCGUUUAUUUGAUAGUACCUUACUACUUGGAUAACCGUGGUAAUUCUAGAGCUAAUACAUGCUAAAAAUCCCGACUUCGGAAGGGAUGUAUUUAUUAGAUUAAAAACCAAUGCCCUUCGGGGCUCACUGGUGAUUCAUAAUAACUUCUCGAAUCGCAUGGCCUUGNGCCGGCGAUGGUUCAUUCAAAUUUCUGCCCUAUCAACUUUCGACGUCUGGGUAUUGGCCAGCCGUGGUGACAACGGGUAACGGAGGGUUAGGGCUCGACCCCGGAGAAGGAGCCUGAGAAACGGCUACUACAUCCAAGGAAGGCAGCAGGCGCGCAAAUUACCCAAUCCCGACACGGGGAGGUAGUGACGAUAAAUACUGAUACAGGGCUCUUUUGGGUCUUGUAAUUGGAAUGAGUACAAUUUAAAUCCCUUAACGAGGAACAAUUGGAGGGCAAGUCUGGUGCCAGCAGCCGCGGUAAUCC